AUGAAUCCCCAAGCCAGCCCUUGGCCGGACGGUUUUAGACCCUCCUUUUAUAGAACUUACUGGCCUAUAGUCAAACACGUAGUCCCGCCUUUCUUCUCCCAAUUCCACCAAGGUGUGGCAGACACAGAACGUUUAAACCGUGCUCACAUCAUCCUCGUUCCUAAGAAAGACACGCCAACCUCACCCGAUGCCUUCAGGACAAUCUCUCUACAGAAUUGCCCAAUCAAAGAUGUUGUUAAAGUCCUCACAUCUCGUCUCAAACUGCUCAUUCCUAGGUUAGUCCAUGGCAAUCAGACUGGGUUCAUCUCAGGCAGGAACAUCGCCGAGAACUACGUCUUUCCAGCCGAUCUCAUUAGCUCUUGCCACUCUCGCAAAAGACCAACCAUGGUUUUUAAGCUCGACUUCCGUAAAGCUUUCGACUCCGUGGCUUGGCCUGCCCUUGACAGAAUACUGGCAGUUCGUGGCUUCUCUUAAACCUUUCGUACCUGGACCCAAAACAUGCUUCACACGGGCAAAGCUGCCAUUCUCCUGAAUGGGGUCCCAGGCAACUGGAUACAAUGCAAGAAUGGUUUGCGACAAGGUGACCCGGCCUCCCCCUACCUUUUCCUCAUCGUCGCCGAUCUGCUUCAACAACUCAUCUUCUAG
Molecule: ribosomal RNA, 645 nt
Filed under: Triticum aestivum (bread wheat)
Lineage: Eukaryota; Viridiplantae; Streptophyta; Magnoliopsida; Poales; Poaceae
Description: partial small subunit ribosomal RNA
Source: RNAcentral